Molecule: long non-coding RNA, 654 nt
Organism: Elaeis guineensis (African oil palm)
Lineage: Eukaryota; Viridiplantae; Streptophyta; Magnoliopsida; Arecales; Arecaceae
Source: RefSeq, a predicted model, not a curated record
AUUUUUGUGCCGACAUUAUUUCAUUUACCGCAACCUGCCGUUGAUCUUGAUUUUUCCGCUGCGCUCUCGAAGGAGAGGAAGGGGGUAAGGAGGAGGAAAGAAAUAGGACGGCAUUAAGUGGCAGCAUCAAAGUUCAUUUCUGAGCCCCAACUUUCAAAUGGGAUAUCAUCAUUGCAAAAUAUUGCUGACUUCUCCACGCAACCUGAAAAGAUAUCCUAUCCUCAGCUAGUUACUGUUACCUGCACUGGAGUUAUCUGGUCUGUGAUUACAUCAGCAAGAUUUCUUUUCCGUGGUACAAGAUGUUCCUGUGGAAGGGUAAUAAGCAAAAUAUUUCCACACUUUCCAGCAGUCAAUGUUUCUAUGUUUCAACUGAUUUGACUGUUAUCGAAAAGGGAGUAUACUAUUGUGGAGUCAUCUGCUGCUUGUCCGUUUAGGUUAUUCUGAUAUUUGCAGUGAAGUUUGUAUAUGCCCUAAAAUCGGUCAAUAAUCUGUACCUAGAAAUUUCUGGAGGGCAAUCACGUUUCCUGUUCUUGUUUGGGUGAUUGUAUGGAAGCUUGAUGUGAAAUGGUGUAUGAUAUGGAAUGGUGGCAUCCUUGAAUGAAUCCUGGAAUAUUCACGUUUUGUUCCAUCUUAAGACGGAGGGAAUUAGUUCUA